This 468-nucleotide ribosomal RNA is filed under the name uncultured bacterium. RNAcentral's name for it is "partial 16S ribosomal RNA". It matches the Rfam family "Bacterial small subunit ribosomal RNA", at positions 28 to 507 of the family's 1533-position model. The record is from RNAcentral.
GACGAACGCUGGCGGCGUGCUUAACACAUGCAAGUCGAACGGUGAAGCUCCAGCUUGCUGGAGUGGAUCAGUGGCGAACGGGUGAGUAACACGUGAGCAACCUGCCCCUGACUCUGGAAUAAGCGCUGGAAACGGCGUCUAAUACUGGAUACGAGAAGGGUCCGCAUGGGCACUUUCUGGAAAGUUUUUCGGUUGGGGAUGGGCUCGCGGCCUAUCAGCUUGUUGGUGAGGUACUGGCUCACCAAGGCGACGACGGGUAGCCGGCCUGAGAGGGCGACCGGCAAAACGGGGACUGAGACACGGCCCAGACUCCUACGGGAGGCAGCAGUGGGGAAUAUUGCACAAUGGGCGAAAGCCUGAUGCAGCGACGCGGCGUGAGGGAUGACGGCCUUCGGUUUGUAAACCUCUUUCAGCAGGGAAGAAGCGAAAGUGACGGUACCUGCAGAAGAAGCACCGGCUAACUACGUG